This 497-nucleotide ribosomal RNA is filed under the name uncultured bacterium. Its description in RNAcentral is "partial 16S ribosomal RNA". It matches the Rfam family "Bacterial small subunit ribosomal RNA", at positions 28 to 507 of the family's 1533-position model. The record is from RNAcentral.
GAUGAACGCUGGCGGCGUGCCUAAUACAUGCAAGUCGAGCGAACGGACGAGAAGCUUGCUUCUCUGAUGUUAGCGGCGGACGGGUGAGUAACACGUGGAUAACCUACCUAUAAGACUGGGAUAACUUCGGGAAACCGGAGCUAAUACCGGAUGAUAUUUUGAACCGCAUGGUUCAAAAGUGAAAGACGGUCUUGCUGUCACUUAUAGAUGGAUCCGCGCUGCAUUAGCUAGUUGGUAAGGUAACGGCUUACCAAGGCAACGAUGCAUAGCCGACCUGAGAGGGUGAUCGGCCACACUGGAACUGAGACACGGUCCAGACUCCUACGGGAGGCAGCAGUGGGGAAUCUUCGGCAAUGGGCGAAAGCCUGACGAAGCAACGCCGCGUGAGUGAAGAAGGUCUUCGGAUCGUAAAGCCCUGUUAGUAGGGAGGAACAGAUGUGAAAUAAUACGUGGAUGUUUUGACGGUACCAAAUGAAAAAGCAACGGCUAACUACGUG